CAGUGGGGAAUAUUGCACAAUGGGCGAAAGCCUGAUGCAGCGACGCCGCGUGAGGGAUGACGGCCUUCGGGUUGUAAACCUCUUUCAGCAGGGAAGACGCGAAAGUGACGGUACCUGCAGAAGAAGCGCCGGCUAACUACGUG
This 143-nucleotide ribosomal RNA is filed under the name uncultured bacterium. RNAcentral describes it as "partial 16S ribosomal RNA". It matches the Rfam family "Bacterial small subunit ribosomal RNA", at positions 352 to 507 of the family's 1533-position model. The record is from RNAcentral.